This 251-nucleotide ribosomal RNA is filed under the name uncultured Pseudomonas sp. RNAcentral describes it as "partial 16S ribosomal RNA". It matches the Rfam family "Bacterial small subunit ribosomal RNA", at positions 1119 to 1374 of the family's 1533-position model. Lineage: Bacteria; Pseudomonadati; Pseudomonadota; Gammaproteobacteria; Pseudomonadales; Pseudomonadaceae. The record is from RNAcentral.
UAAGGAAGACGUGCCGGUCGGACAAAACCCGGAACGGGAAGGUGGGGAGUGACGUCAAGUCAUCAUGGCCCUUACGGCCUGGGCUACACACGUGCUACAAUGGUCGGUACAAAGGGUUGCCAAGCCGCGAGGUGGAGCUAAUCCCAUAAACCGAUCGUAGUCCGGAUCGCAGUCUGCAACUCGACUGCGUGAAGUCGGAAUCGCUAGUAAUCGUGAAUCAGAAUGUCCACGGUCGAAUACGUUCCGGCCUU